Small nucleolar RNA from Sciurus vulgaris (Eurasian red squirrel), 104 nucleotides. The record is from Ensembl. Lineage: Eukaryota; Metazoa; Chordata; Mammalia; Rodentia; Sciuridae.
AUCCUCUUAUGAUUCAUAAACAUGCUGAUAAGGUGUUCAGGCCAUUGUGUGUGAUGUGUCUCCCUGGAAACUUGUUACAAAGUUGACACCUUACCUGGCAUAGG